This 490-nucleotide ribosomal RNA is filed under the name uncultured bacterium. RNAcentral describes it as "partial 16S ribosomal RNA". It matches the Rfam family "Bacterial small subunit ribosomal RNA", at positions 29 to 507 of the family's 1533-position model. The record is from RNAcentral.
AUUGAACGCUGGCGGCAUGCCUUACACAUGCAAGUCGAACGGCAUCGCGGGAAAGCUUGCUUUCCUGGCGGCGAGUGGCGAACGGGUGAGUAACACAUCGGAACGUACCGGCUAGUGGGGGAUAACCCGUCGAAAGACGGGCUAAUACCGCAUACGCUCUUCGGAGGAAAGCAGGGGACCUUUGGGCCUUGCGCUAGCCGAGCGUCCGAUGUCCGAUUAGCUAGUUGGUGGGGUAAAGGCCUACCAAGGCGACGAUCGGUAGCGGGUCUGAGAGGACGAUCCGCCACACUGGAACUGAGACACGGACCAGACUCCUACGGGAGGCAGCAGUGGGGAAUCUUGGACAAUGGGGGCAACCCUGAUCCAGCAAUGCCGCGUGGGUGAAGAAGGCCUUCGGGUUGUAAAGCCCUUUCGGCAGGGAAGAAAUCGGCGGGGCGAAUAACCCUGCUGGAUGACGGUACCUGCAGAAGAAGCACCGGCUAACUACGUG